RNAcentral lists this unclassified non-coding RNA (18 nucleotides) under Mus musculus (house mouse). RNAcentral's name for it is "oocyte_clustered_small_RNA2628". The record is from RNAcentral. Lineage: Eukaryota; Metazoa; Chordata; Mammalia; Rodentia; Muridae.
GGUUAGAAUGAGUGAGGG